UCCAGACUCCUACGGGAGGCAGCAGUGGGGAAUAUUGCACAAUGGGGGAAACCCUGAUGCAGCGACGCCGCGUGAGUGAAGAAGUAAUUCGUUAUGUAAAGCUCUAUCAGCAGGGAAGAAAAUGACGGUACCUGACUAAGAAGCCCCGGCUAACUACGUGCCAGCAGCCGCGGUAAUACGUAGGGGGCAAGCGUUAUCCGGAUUUACUGGGUGUAAAGGGAGCGUAGACGGCAGUGCAAGUCCGGAGUGAAAGCCCGGGGCUCAACCCUGGGACUGCUCUGGAAACUGUAUGACUUGAGUGCAGGAGAGGUAAGCGGAAUUCCUAGUGUAGCGGUGAAAUGCGUAGAUAUUAGGAGGAACACCAGUGGCGAAGGCGGUCUGCUGGACAGCAACUGACGGUGAGGCGCGAAAGCGUGGGGAGCAAACAGGAUUAGAUACCCCCGUA
This 445-nucleotide ribosomal RNA is filed under the name uncultured bacterium. RNAcentral describes it as "bacterial SSU rRNA". It matches the Rfam family "Bacterial small subunit ribosomal RNA", at positions 330 to 792 of the family's 1533-position model. The record is from RNAcentral.